AAUGAUAAAAGCAGUUUAUAUGAGUUCUGUUUCAAUCAUUUCAGGACCACAAGAGUACAAUAAAAGCAAUUUACACGGGUUCUGAAUUUCUGGAGAGUGUUUUUGCUGGUGUUGAAGUUGGCUCGAUGCUUAUUUGUUUCGUCGAUUUCAGUUAUUCAGGAUUCACUCCACGAACAUAAACAACGGGUGGACUUGCCAAAAAGUACUUUUCCUUCGGAUAAAGAGAGAAG
This is a long non-coding RNA of Humulus lupulus (European hop), 230 nucleotides long. RefSeq lists it as uncharacterized. The transcript has 3 exons. NCBI's taxonomy places the organism in Eukaryota, Viridiplantae, Streptophyta, Magnoliopsida, Rosales, Cannabaceae. The record is from RefSeq and is a predicted model, not a curated record.